GAAUGACUCUCGGCAACGGAUAUCUCGGCUCUUGCGUCGAUGAAGAACGUAGCGAAAUGCGAUACUUGGUGUGAAUUGCAGAAUCCCGUGAACCAUCGAGUCUUUGAACGCAAGUUGCGCCCGAAGCCAUUAGGCCGAGGGCACGCCUGCCUGGGUGUCACAC
This 163-nucleotide ribosomal RNA is filed under the name Lespedeza hengduanshanensis. Its description in RNAcentral is "5.8S ribosomal RNA". It matches the Rfam family "5.8S ribosomal RNA". From Rfam's summary of the family: 5.8S ribosomal RNA (5.8S rRNA) is a component of the large subunit of the eukaryotic ribosome. It is transcribed by RNA polymerase I as part of the 45S precursor that also contains 18S and 28S rRNA. Lineage: Eukaryota; Viridiplantae; Streptophyta; Magnoliopsida; Fabales; Fabaceae. The record is from RNAcentral.